Molecule: ribosomal RNA, 145 nt
Filed under: Conticribra weissflogii
Lineage: Eukaryota; Bacillariophyta; Thalassiosirophyceae; Thalassiosirales; Thalassiosiraceae
Description: partial Trypanosomatid mitochondrial large subunit ribosomal RNA
Source: RNAcentral
CGAUAACUAGUGACCCCUCUGCCAAAGAAGUCACACACACUGCUUCAACGGUAGCACGAGUGCUGGCACAGCGCGUAGAGGGAUUUGACAAAGUGCGGCCUAGAUACGGAUUGGAAGAUGACGACGAAGACGAUUCAAAGAAGAC